GGGAAUAUUGCACAAUGGGCGAAAGCCUGAUGCAGAAACGCCGCGUGAGUGAUGAAGGCCUUAGGGUUGUAAAAAUCUGUCUUCUGGGACGAUAAUGACGGUACCAGAGGAGGAAGCCACGGCUAACUAAGUGCCAACGGCCGCGGUAAUACGUCGGUGGCAAGCGUUGUCCGGAUUUACUGGGCGUAAAGGAUGCGUAGGCGGAUAUUUAAGUGAGAUGUGAAAUUCCCGCGCUUAACUUGGGAGCUGCAUUUCAAACUGGGUAUCUAGAGUGGGGGA
This 279-nucleotide ribosomal RNA is filed under the name uncultured bacterium. RNAcentral's name for it is "partial 16S ribosomal RNA". It matches the Rfam family "Bacterial small subunit ribosomal RNA", at positions 357 to 653 of the family's 1533-position model. The record is from RNAcentral.